GCAGCGCAGGGACACACAGCCACCUCUAGCACAAACCCUGCACGAGGAGUACUCCAGACUUUGAGGGCCUCAGCUCCCACGGCAUGGCUUCCCAGGGCCAGUUUGUUACUGAGUUGGCAGCUUUAGAAUUAGCUGAGAGAAAUCUGCUGUUCUGUUUCCUCUUGAAUUCACACAGCUCCUUUUUCUCUGCAGCUUAACUGGAGCUUGAAGAACAGCUGAAAUCCAGAAGACAUCUCUUCAGGACAGUAACAUUUUCUCCGAUGGAAUAGCUGGAGAAAGGGGAAAAAUGCUUCAGGUUGAGGCACAAUACAGCUCCUACAAGCAACCAGGAAUGGUAUCAGAACACCAGAGGUAUCCGGAGCAACCAGAGAGCGUUGUGCUUCUCCUACAUGUACAGAUGUAGAGCAGCUGCUGAGCCCCACGCUUAUGGGGAGUGUGGGUCCUCUGCCCCCACCUGAGGGAGAGCUUCUGGGUUGGAAGGCUCAGGGCCCCUCCGCUGUGGGUGGGAAUGGAGCAUUGAUGUGGGUCCUCUGUCAGGUUUGCUGGGUGGUACCCCUGUAAAACAGGUAUAUAUUUUCUAGAGGGUAGCAGGCAUUAAGUGCUUGUUUUUCUUCUGUAGCUGUAUGAGAUCAAUUACCUAUUGCACUGUGCUGAUGUAGUCUGGAAGUAAUGACAUUCUCUUUUAGCUGCAGCAUUCAGGGUUUGGUGGGGUGCAGGUCAAGAAAGCAAUGGAGGUGUGCUCAGCAGGCUGUGCAAAGGGACUCCUGAGCCCGUGCUCUGCUCCCGUCCUUCAGCAGCUGAUGAUGCCCUGGUAGACUCACAGGCUCCCACAGGCUUUUCUCUAUCUUCUUCUCAAUGGGAAUAAAGGUCCCUCAACUCUU
This is a long non-coding RNA of Gallus gallus (chicken), 881 nucleotides long. RefSeq lists it as uncharacterized. The record is from RefSeq and is a predicted model, not a curated record. The transcript has 2 exons. NCBI's taxonomy places the organism in Eukaryota, Metazoa, Chordata, Aves, Galliformes, Phasianidae.